RNAcentral lists this small RNA (599 nucleotides) under Pan troglodytes (chimpanzee). RNAcentral describes it as "retained intron". Lineage: Eukaryota; Metazoa; Chordata; Mammalia; Primates; Hominidae. The record is from RNAcentral.
AUGAUAAGUUAAUUGCUAUUUAUAUUAGGUUGCCAAGAGGCUUUCUACAGUAUGGUGGGCAGCAAAUGGAUGAAGUGCUAAUAUCUCAGUAGAUUUUACUUGUGUUUUGGGGGUUAAAUUCAUGUUGGGGUUUCUGAUAAUUGAGAUGCUGCUUUUGACAUUUCUUUACCACCUCUUAGUAUUUAAGAGUUUUUCCGUUUUAUGUAUACUAGGUUUGUCCAAUGAGUAAGUCUCCAUAUGUGGAUCCUCAUAAAUCAGGACAUGAAAUCUGGGAAGAAUUUUCGAUGAGCUUCACUCCAGCAGUGAAAGAAGUGGUGGAAUUUGCAAAGCGUAUUCCUGGGUUCAGAGAUCUCUCUCAGCAUGACCAGGUCAACCUUUUAAAGGCUGGGACUUUUGAGGUUUUAAUGGUACGGUUUGCAUCAUUAUUUGAUGCAAAGGAACGUACUGUCACCUUUUUAAGUGGAAAGAAAUAUAGUGUGGAUGAUUUACACUCAAUGGGAGCAGGGGAUCUGCUAAACUCUAUGUUUGAAUUUAGUGAGAAGCUAAAUGCCCUCCAACUUAGUGAUGAAGAGAUGAGUUUGUUUACAGCUGUUGUCCUG